This 62-nucleotide transfer RNA is filed under the name Amblyomma maculatum (Gulf Coast tick). RNAcentral describes it as "tRNA-Asp". Lineage: Eukaryota; Metazoa; Arthropoda; Arachnida; Ixodida; Ixodidae. The record is from RNAcentral. RNAcentral also lists the same sequence under 1 other name.
GGAAAUCUAGUUAAAUUUAUAACAAAAGAAUGUCAUUCUUUAAUUACUUUUAGUGUUUUCCU